UAUUAAAAAUUUCAUCCAUUUCUACCGUUAAAAAUUGAUGUAACUAACAGAACAAUCAAACAAUGACACAUGGAUGUUGUGUGUACAUCAUGCUAACAUACAAAACCAAUCAUUAAUAAUAGAAAUGGAUGGAUUUUUUAACA
Molecule: non-coding RNA, 143 nt
Organism: Gossypium hirsutum (cotton)
Lineage: Eukaryota; Viridiplantae; Streptophyta; Magnoliopsida; Malvales; Malvaceae
Source: Rfam